RNAcentral lists this long non-coding RNA (653 nucleotides) under Dromaius novaehollandiae (emu). RNAcentral's name for it is "lncRNA (ENSDNVG00000007740.1)". Lineage: Eukaryota; Metazoa; Chordata; Aves; Casuariiformes; Dromaiidae. The record is from RNAcentral.
CCAUAACAAACAUACCCGCAUGUCACUAUUUUACACUUACACCACGUGUGACACCACACCAAGGUCCAAAAGGAAGUAACUUCUAACACCAACUUCAUGGCAGGUUUGCAUGGUGCUUUUCAGAUUAGCAGAAAUGUAAGGACUUCACCCUGGAGAUUUUAAAAUUAAAAUGAGUCAUGAUGAUCAGAAAAUAAAGAGGGGGAACGAAGGCAGAAAUGAAAAAGAGGUGGUAAACUCACACGAGGGCAUCAUUUACAUGAAAAAAUUUUGCCAUUUCAGCUUGUUUUCUUGCAAGUACAAGGAAAAUUAAAUUAAAAACACCAACUGGGAGGAACUCCAGCUUCAAACAAUUUUUGCUUCUUAUCUUGACUGGUGCUGGCACCUUGCCCUCUCCUGAGUGAACCCUGACAAUUUCUAAAGUAACGAACCAAAGUCAUCUCACAAGAUUUCGUCAAACACCCUGUAGAAUCACAGGUCCAGCUGACAGCUAAGGAGGACCAGAUCAUGCUCUUACCUUUAGCACACAAAGGUAAAAAUUCCAGCAUGACAAGAUAACGUUCACUUGUGCACAUACCACCCUUGGACACACCAUUUUGCUUAGCUGGAAGAGUAGCUUCCUCUGUCCUUCCUAAAGUGUUGUGACACCUACUCGU